RNAcentral lists this ribosomal RNA (499 nucleotides) under uncultured bacterium. RNAcentral's name for it is "partial 16S ribosomal RNA". It matches the Rfam family "Bacterial small subunit ribosomal RNA", at positions 30 to 523 of the family's 1533-position model. The record is from RNAcentral.
AUUGAACGCUGGCGGCAUGCCUUACACAUGCAAGUCGAACGGCAGCACGGGAGCAAUCCUGGUGGCGAGUGGCGAACGGGUGAGUAAAGUAUCGGAACGUGCCCAGUCGUGGGGGAUAACGUAGCGAAAGCUACGCUAAUACCGCAUACGAUCUAUGGAUGAAAGCGGGGGAUCGCAAGACCUCGCGCGAUUGGAGCGGCCGAUAUCAGAUUAGGUAGUUGGUGGGGUAAAGGCCCACCAAGCCGACGAUCUGUAGCUGGUCUGAGAGGACGACCAGCCACACUGGACUGAGACACGGCCCAGACUCCUACGGGAGGCAGCAGUGGGGAAUUUUGGACAAUGGGCGCAAGCCUGAUCCAGCAAUGCCGCGUGCAGGAUGAAGGCCUUCGGGUUGUAAACUGCUUUUGUACGGAACGAAAAGGCUCUCACUAAUACUGGGGGCUCAUGACGGUACCGUAAGAAUAAGCACCGGCUAACUACGUGCCAGCAGCCGCGGUAA